This 433-nucleotide ribosomal RNA is filed under the name uncultured bacterium. RNAcentral describes it as "partial 16S ribosomal RNA". It matches the Rfam family "Bacterial small subunit ribosomal RNA", at positions 29 to 507 of the family's 1533-position model. The record is from RNAcentral.
AACGAACGCUGGCGGCAUGCCUAACACAUGCAAGUCGAACGAGACCUUCGGGUCUAUUUGCGCACGUGUGCGUAACGCGUGGGAACCUGCCCUUAGGUUCGGUAUAACUCCCCGAAAGGUGUGCUAAUACCGGAUAAUGUCUUCGGACCAAAGAUUUAUCGCCUUUGGAUGGGCCCGCGUUGGAUUAGCGGGUUGGUAGUGUAAAAGCCUACCAAGGCGACGAUGCAUAGCUGGUCUGAGAGGAUGAUCAGCCACAAUGGGAAUGAGACACGGCCCAGACUCCUACGGGAGGCAGCAGUGGGGAAUAUUGGACAAUGGGGGAAAGCCUGAUAAAGCAAUGCCGCGGGAGUGAUGAAGGCCUUAGGGUUGUAAAGCUCUUUUACCCGGGAUGAUAAUGACAGUACCGGGAGAAUAAGCUCCGGCUAACUCCGUG